GACGAACGCUGGCGGCGUGCUUAACACAUGCAAGUCGAACGGAAAGGCCCUGCUUUUGUGGGGUGCUCGAGUGGCGAACGGGUGAGUAACACGUGAGUAACCUGCCCUUGACUUUGGGAUAACUUCAGGAAACUGGGGCUAAUACCGGAUAGGAUCUCCUGCUGCAUGGUGGGGGUUGGAAAGUUUCGGCGGUUGGGGAUGGACUCGCGGCUUAUCAGCUUGUUAGUUGGGUAGUGGCUUACCAAGGCUUUGGCGGGUAGCCGGCCUGAGAGGGUGACCGGCCACAUUGGGACUGAGGGACGGCGCAGACGCGUACGGGAGGCAGCAGGGGGGAAUCUGGCACAAUGGGAGGAAGCCUGAUGCAGCAACGCCGCGGGCGGGAUGACGGCCUGCGGGGUGUAAACCGCUGUCGCCUGUGGCGAAGCGGGAGUGACGGUAAUGGGUAAAGAAGCACCGGCUAACUACGUG
Molecule: ribosomal RNA, 468 nt
Filed under: uncultured bacterium
Lineage: Bacteria
Description: partial 16S ribosomal RNA
Rfam family: Bacterial small subunit ribosomal RNA
Source: RNAcentral